AGUGAACGCUGGCGGUAGGCCUAACACAUGCAAGUCGAACGGCAGCACAGAGGAGCUUGCUCCUUGGGUGGCGAGUGGCGGGCGGGUGAGGAAUACAUCGGAAUCUACUCUGUCGUGGGGGAUAACGUAGGGAAACUUACGCUAAUACCGCAUACGACCUACGGGUGAAAGCAGGGGAUCUUCGGACCUUGCGCGAUUGAAUGAGCCGAUGUCGGAUUAGCUAGUUGGCGGGGUAAAGGCCCACCAAGGCGACGAUCCGUAGCUGGUCUGAGGGGAUGAUCAGCCACACUGGAACUGAGACACGGUCCAGACUCCUACGGGAGGCAGCAGUGGGGAAUAUUGGACAAUGGGCGCAAGCCUGAUCCAGCCAUACCGCGUGGGUGAAGAAGGCCUUCGGGUUGUAAAGCCCUUUUGUUGGGAAAGAAAUCCAUCUGGUUAAUACCCGGGUGGGAUGACGGUACCCAAAGAAUAAGCACCGGCUAACUUCGUGCCAGCAGCCGCCGUAA
Molecule: ribosomal RNA, 506 nt
Filed under: uncultured bacterium
Lineage: Bacteria
Description: partial 16S ribosomal RNA
Rfam family: Bacterial small subunit ribosomal RNA
Source: RNAcentral